This 74-nucleotide transfer RNA is filed under the name Gossypium hirsutum (cotton). It matches the Rfam family "tRNA". From Rfam's summary of the family: Transfer RNA (tRNA) molecules are approximately 80 nucleotides in length. The record is from Rfam by way of RNAcentral. Lineage: Eukaryota; Viridiplantae; Streptophyta; Magnoliopsida; Malvales; Malvaceae.
GGUGUCGUGGUUUAGUUAGUUAUCACGUCAGUCUAACACACUGAAGGUCUCCGGUUCGAGUCUGGGCGACGCCA